CUCAAAUCGUACGCUACAAAUAUUUUUGGUAGCAUCAAUACAAAACAAAGUACAUAAUAUUAUCUGAAUUGACAAUCAACCAAAGCAAAAUGAACCAAGACGAAGACAUUUAUUUUGAAAGGCUCUGUCAGGCACAACAAAAAGAAGCCAAAGAAUUUAGACAAUAUUUGGACGAUCAAGAAAGAGAGAGCAGAUCAAAUACAGGCAAGCAUAAACUACAAUGUUCUGAAUGCAAUAGAUUAUUUUCGAAUAAGGCUAAUUUGAAGGCGCAUAUCAAACGGAAACAUGAAACAAAAACUACGGACGAAAUCAAAACAAUGCUAAAAUCAAGCAAAUUGUUGAUAGAACGACCGAAAAAUGCAAAAUUUAUUUGUGAUA
Long non-coding RNA from Contarinia nasturtii (swede midge), 378 nucleotides. RefSeq lists it as uncharacterized. The transcript is spliced from 3 exons. The record is from RefSeq and is a predicted model, not a curated record. Lineage: Eukaryota; Metazoa; Arthropoda; Insecta; Diptera; Cecidomyiidae.